UCCCAGGUGGUUCAGUGGGUAAACAAUCUGCUUGCAAUGCAGAAGAUGUGGGUUCGACCCCUGGCUUGGAAA
Molecule: transfer RNA, 72 nt
Filed under: Bos indicus (zebu cattle)
Lineage: Eukaryota; Metazoa; Chordata; Mammalia; Artiodactyla; Bovidae
Also listed under: 1 other name
Rfam family: tRNA
About the family: Transfer RNA (tRNA) molecules are approximately 80 nucleotides in length.
Source: Rfam by way of RNAcentral